Long non-coding RNA from Cottoperca gobio, 1824 nucleotides. Ensembl lists it as uncharacterized. The record is from Ensembl. NCBI's taxonomy places the organism in Eukaryota, Metazoa, Chordata, Actinopteri, Perciformes, Bovichtidae.
GUCUGUAACAAAAGAAGUGGGUGGGCACUUUCUUAUCAAGUUGACACUCAUUGGCUCAUGAAGGUUGUAAAAGACCCAUCGAAGCUCCGAUUGGCUCAAAUGAAGUGUCCAUCUAAUGCUGAGAGCCCGCGCUAAAACCAGGAAGUGUCUGAACCGUGAUGAGAGCACAAGAUAUUAAGUUAUGACUGUUUAUGAUCACACAAUGUAAAAAUCGAUCAGCUGAUUUCACAGAUUGCAACACCUGUUCAUGGACUUUUAUCGAUGUGACGAUGUUCACAGUGGAUAUCUUUUUCACGGAAACGAACGUGUGGACCUCUGGCAAUGCCUUAGGAGCGUCUUUUUCAAAAUAUUGCUGAAAAGAGGAUAUUUAUGAGGCUUUAUAGAGAGACGACACAUAUUCAAAAAUCUUCAAAAAGAAUUUAACCAAGAAACCUUAAACAUGAAGUUUGUGAGAGAGUGCCCUGUGUGCCUGAACGAAUACUCCCAGCUGGGCAAGCACCUCAGACAGACACACAGAGUCAAGAAUGAGACAGAGAGGAAAAUCCUCCUCAAGCUGGGCUCUGGAAGAACAGACGUCAGGACUGAACGUUGCAGCGUUGGAGGAUGUGACUACCAGGGGUCCCGGCUUGACCGCCACAUACGUGAAAUUCACUCGGAGAUGACUGUAGAGGAGAGGGCCAAGAUGAUGGAGAUCACAAAGCAGAUGAAAGCCAUCAAAGAAUUGGCAGCGCUGCGGAUGACGGACCCGGUGCCAGCAAUGGCCACAUAUCUGGAUCCAGUUGAUGAAGAAACAGAAGUCUUGUGUCUGGGAGAUGAUGAGGCUCCCCGCGACUGUGGGAAUGAGGAGUGCGGUGAGGUGAGGAGAGGAUACGUCAGGGAGUUGGCCAGGCUCACGACUCUGCAUGACCAAACAUUGCAGGACAUGGGAGCCCUGAGACUACAGAUCCAGCUGCUGAAGAGGAAGCUCGCUGACAGUCGCUACCAAGUGAUGAUACCACACAGCAGGAGAGCAAGAGCAAGGAGGGAGGCUGCUGUGGAACAGCUGUUUCGAAACUCAGAGGAGGUUGCGGAGGAGGACGUGGAGGACGUUGUUGCUGUUGCAGAGGACGUUGUUGCAGAGGACGUUGCGGAGGAAGCAACUCUGCCAGCCCCCAACAAGGAGGAACAGGUGUACAUCCCGAAGCAGAGGAAAGCGACAAGUAGGAACGUUAAUUCCCCCUGGAUGGCUGGCAGCGGACGGGGAAAUGUGAUGAGGAGAAUUAAGAUGCCUCCUUCCAUGGAAGAGUACCUCCAAAACUUUGGUAAGUUACAUGAGGGCACCAAUCCAACUAGGAAAAUGAGAGAAAACGCGAAGUCGAAAGUGAGCCGUGUGAAAACCUUCAUUUUAUUCAUGGGAAAUAAACACAAGAGGUUGUCCGACUGGCUGUUCAUGGACAACCCCGUCAAGCUGAAAAAAUGGUGUAAUAAGCUUGCAAGGGGCAUGCAGGAGACCACGGUGGAGUUCUACUUAAAAAACAAUUUGCAGUUUUUGAAUUACAUGCAGCAGACUCCGCCGCGGUCAUCUAGGCUCACAAAGGUCAACAUGACCGCUGUCAUACGAGACAUAAAAGUCGCCCUGAAAAGCCUGAAGAGGUUGCUGGUGGUCCACCAAACGUCAGUUAAGCAGGAGAAAUACUCUAAGCUGCCAGGGUGUGAGGCCAUCACUGAGAAGGAGGAGGGAAUAGUGUAAAUGUGUAAAUAUAGUGUUUAAUGUGUUAAAAUAAAUAGUUGAAUUUGAAUUGCUCUUGUGUUAAUUUCUCCUUAUUUGAAUAAUUGUGCCUCUUG